AGUGAACGCUGGCGGUAGGCCUAACACAUGCGAGUCGAACGGCAGCACAGUAAGAGCUUGCUCUUACGGGUGGCGAGUGGCGGACGGGUGAGGAAUACAUCGGAAUCUACUUUUUCGUGGGGGAUAACGUAGGGAAACUUACGCUAAUACCGCAUACGACCUACGGGUGAAAGCAGGGGAUCUUCGCACCUUGCGCGAUUGAAUGAGCCGAUGUCGGAUUAGCUAGUUGGCGGGGUAAAGGCCCACCAAGGCGACGAUCCGUAGCUGGUCUGAGAGGAUGAUCGGCCACACUGGAACUGAGACACGGUCCAGACUCCUACGGGAGGCAGCAGUGGGGAAUAUUGGACAAUGGGCGCAAGCCUGAUCCAGCCAUACCGCGUGGGUGAAGAAGGCCUUCGGGUUGUAAAGCCCUUUUGUUGGGAAAGAAAAGCAGCAGGUUAAUACCCCGCUGUUCUGACGGUACCCAAAGAAUAAGCACCGGCUAACUUCGUG
This 492-nucleotide ribosomal RNA is filed under the name uncultured bacterium. Its description in RNAcentral is "partial 16S ribosomal RNA". It matches the Rfam family "Bacterial small subunit ribosomal RNA", at positions 29 to 507 of the family's 1533-position model. The record is from RNAcentral.